GUCGGGGAACUCAAGGAGACUGCCGGUGAUAAACCGGAGGAAGUGGGAUGACGUCAAGUCAUCAUGGCCCUUACGAGUAGGGCUACACACGUGCUACAAUGGCAUAUACAAAGAGAAGCGAACUCGCGAGAGCAAGCGGACCUCAUAAAGUAUGUCGUAGUCCGGAUUGGAGUCUGCAACUCGACUCCAUGAAGUCGGAAUCGCUAGUAAUCGUAGAUCAGAAUGCUACGGUGAAUACGUUCCCGGGCCUU
This 251-nucleotide ribosomal RNA is filed under the name uncultured Enterobacteriaceae bacterium. RNAcentral describes it as "partial 16S ribosomal RNA". It matches the Rfam family "Bacterial small subunit ribosomal RNA", at positions 1129 to 1382 of the family's 1533-position model. Lineage: Bacteria; Pseudomonadati; Pseudomonadota; Gammaproteobacteria; Enterobacterales; Enterobacteriaceae. The record is from RNAcentral.